GACGAACGCUGGCGGCGUGCUUAACACAUGCAAGUCGAACGGAAAGGCCCUGCUUUUGUGGGGUGCUCGAGUGGCGAACGGGUGAGUAACACGUGAGUAACCUGCCCUUGACUUUGGGAUAACUUCAGGAAACUGGGGCUAAUACCGGAUAGGAGCUCCUGCUGCAUGGUGGGGGUUGGAAAGUUUCGGCGGUUGGGGAUGGACUCGCGGCUUAUUAGCUUGUUGGUGGGGUAGUGGCUUACCAAGGCUUUGACGGGUAGCCGGCCUGAGAGGGUGACCGGCCACAUUGGGACUGAGAUACGGCCCAGACUCCUACGGGAGGCAGCAGUGGGGAAUAUUGCACAAUGGGCGGAAGCCUGAUGCAGCAACGCCGCGUGCGGGAUGACGGCCUUCGGGUUGUAAACCGCUUUCGCCUGUGACGAAGCGUGAGUGACGGUAAUGGGUAAAGAAGCACCGGCUAACUACGUGCCAGCAGCCGCGGUGAUACGUAGGGUGCGAGCGUUGUCCGGAUUUAUUGGGCGUAAAGGGCUCGUAGGUGGUUGAUCGCGUCGGAAGUGUAAUCUUGGGGCUUAACCCUGAGCGUGCUUUCGAUACGGGUUGACUUGAGGAAGGUAGGGGAGAAUGGAAUUCCUGGUGGAGCGGUGGAAUGCGCAGAUAUCAGGAGGAACACCAGUGGCGAAGGCGGUUCUCUGGGCCUUUCCUGACGCUGAGGAGCGAAAGCGUGGGGAGUGAACGGGCUUAGAUACCCUGGUAGUCCACGCUGUAAACGGUGGGUACUAGGUGUGGGGUCCAUUCCACGGGUUCCGUGCCGUAGCUAACGCUUUAAGUACCCCGCCUGGGGAGUACGGCCGCAAGGCUAAAACUCAAAGGAAUUGACGGGGCCCCGCACAAGCGGCGGAGCAUGCGGAUUAAUUCGAUGCAACGCGUAGAACCUUACCUGGGUUUGACAUGGAUCGGGAGUGCUCAGAGAUGGGUGUGCCUCUUUUGGGGUCGGUUCACAGGUGGUGCAUGGCUGUCGUCAGCUCGUGUCGUGAGAUGUUGGGUUAAGUCCCGCAACGAGCGCAACCCUUGUUCACUGUUGCCAGCACGUUAUGGUGGGGACUCAGUGGAGACCGCCGGGGUCAACUCGGAGGAAGGUGGGGAUGACGUCAAGUCAUCAUGCCCCUUAUGUCCAGGGCUUCACGCAUGCUACAAUGGCUGGUACAGAGAGUGGCGAGCCUGUGAGGGUGAGCGAAUCUCGGAAAGCCGGUCUCAGUUCGGAUUGGGGUCUGCAACUCGACCUCAUGAAGUCGGAGUCGCUAGUAAUCGCAGAUCAGCAACGCUGCGGUGAAUACGUUCCCGGG
RNAcentral lists this ribosomal RNA (1343 nucleotides) under uncultured bacterium. RNAcentral describes it as "16S ribosomal RNA". It matches the Rfam family "Bacterial small subunit ribosomal RNA", at positions 28 to 1378 of the family's 1533-position model. The record is from RNAcentral.